RNAcentral lists this unclassified non-coding RNA (296 nucleotides) under plant metagenome. RNAcentral's name for it is "partial contains small subunit ribosomal RNA and internal transcribed spacer 1". The record is from RNAcentral.
AAGUCGUAACAAGGUUUCCGUAGGUAUGUUAUCAUCCAACCCCUGUUAUCCUUGAAGUCAUUAUACUAACGUACAUUUUAGGUGAACCUGCGGAAGGAUCAUUUACUGAGUUAGGGUCUUUACGGCCCGACCUCCAACCCUUUGUUUAACAAUACCAUGUUGCUUCGGCGGGCCCGUCCUCUUUAGGACCGCCGGAGGGUCUUAUCCCCCUCUGGCCCGUUGCCUGUCGAUAGCCAUCAAACCAAAAUUUCUUGAUAAACCAUGUCGUCUGAGUCUCAAUUUAUAAUUAAUUAAAA